This 565-nucleotide long non-coding RNA is filed under the name Cricetulus griseus (Chinese hamster). RNAcentral describes it as "lncRNA (ENSCGRG00015016545.2)". The record is from RNAcentral. Lineage: Eukaryota; Metazoa; Chordata; Mammalia; Rodentia; Cricetidae.
GCCGAAGAUGCGGACGAGCAAGGGCAGCACUUUGAAGGACCCUUCAAUCCCGUGAGCCCUCUGGAGAGUUGGGUAGGAUGUGAGCCAUGCAUGCCCAGGGUACCCAAACCUGGGCCACAGAGCCGAUCUCUCCCCAGUGCUGAGAAGCCAUACAAGGCCAAGUCCGGAAGGGAGCUAGACAGAUACAAGGAAUGAUGGGUGAUGUCAGACAGCCCGGCUGGCACCUCAGCCAAGAUGGGUUGGAGAGAUGGCUCAACACUGACUACUCUUCCAGAGAACCUGGGUUCAAUUCCCAGCACCCACAUGAAAGCUACCAACUGUCUGUAACUCCAAGAUCUGACGCUCUCACACAGGCAUACAUGCUGGAGAGAUGGCUCGGAGGUUAAGAGCACUGACUGCUCUUCCAGAGGUCCUGAGUUCAAUUCCCAGCAACCACAUGGUGGCUCACAACCAUCUGUUAUGAGAUCUGGUGCCCUCUUCUUGUGUGCAGAUAUACAUGGAAGCAGAAUGUUGUAUACAUAAUAAGUAAAUAAAAAAAUAAUGUUUAAAAAAAUAUCUUUCAUUU